RNAcentral lists this unclassified non-coding RNA (1798 nucleotides) under Leptinotarsa decemlineata (Colorado potato beetle). RNAcentral describes it as "uSP6 N-terminal-like protein, transcript variant X1". The record is from RNAcentral. Lineage: Eukaryota; Metazoa; Arthropoda; Insecta; Coleoptera; Chrysomelidae.
AGUAUGACAGCUGUCGACACUUCCUCUUCUAGUGGUUUUCAAUUUCAAUGGGUGCUGUUCGGAAUAUUCAAAUAUUCAUAUGAAGUUAAUACAUAAAAUAAGUUAGUAGGAUGUACUGAGAAAAACGUAUACAGCGACCUGAAACUUGAGUAGCACGGAAUGCUGGGGUGUACUCUAUUUGAAACGUUUCAGAAUUCGUAAAUGGGAUGAAUGAAGGAGACCUACUCAGAAGAUCAGCUGAAGAGCGAGAGAAAAUAUUUCUUCGAUAUGAACAAGGCAGAGAGGGGGCAGAAAUUGAUCCGUGGGAAGACCCUGGCUUUGAGGUAUACCACGCAACAGAUCGGUAUGGUUUUAUUCAUGACAAACGAUUACCAUCCAAAGUGGACCCGCAGGAAGCAAAAAAGCUCCAAAUAGAAGUCGAACGUCAAAAAAAGUGGCUCAAAAUGCUCAAGAACUGGGAUAGUUCUGUUGUCAAAGAGAAGCUGCAUAAUCGUGUGUAUAAAGGCAUUCCAAAUUCUUUAAGAACUGAGGCGUGGUGUAAAUUAUUGCAAGUCGAAAAAUACAAGAAAGAAAACAGAGGCAAAUAUGGUGAAAUGAUGAAGUUGGCCAGAAAAUAUUCAACUGAUGCUAGACAAAUAGAUUCAGAUGUAAAUAGACAAUUUAGAGAGCAUUUGCAUUACAGAGAAAGGUACAGUAUCAAACAACAGUCGCUCUUCAAUGUCCUGACGGCCUAUGCAAUGUAUAAUUCAGAAGUUGGAUAUUGUCAAGGUAUGUCCGGUUUGGCUGGUGUGUUGCUCAUGUACAUGGACGAGGAAGAUGCAUUUUGGGCCGUACACAUCCUGUUAACUAGUCCAAAAUAUGCCAUGCAUGGACUGUACAAAGAGGGCUUCCCUAAACUAACCAGAUUUCUUGCCCAUCACGAUCGAAUUUUAAUGAAACUUUUGCCAAAAAUUAAAAAGCAUUUUGAUAAACACGGCCUAGAUGCGAUAUUAUAUUCUUUGAAGUGGUUUUUUGUCUGCUUUAUAGAGAGGGUUCCAUUUAAUUUGUGUCUGCGCAUUUGGGAUAUUUACCUUUUAGAUGGUGAGAAGGUUAUAACAGCAAUGGCUUAUACAAUACUCAAGUUACAUAAACGACAACUGUUGAAACUCAAUGAUAUGGAUUCAAUAGUUAAUUUCAUUCAGGUAAAAUUAUACAAAGACUUCUUGUACGAUGAAGACUCUGUUGUACGUCACCUCGAAACGUCAAUGGACGAAUUGAAGAGAUACAAGCUCGAUCUACCCGGUCCGCCAACCAAAGAUGAACUACCGAUUGGACCAUUCGGAGUUUUCAAAGAGCCCACCUUCGAACAAAUGGUCGGAAUAAGAAAAGAGGCGUUUACAGAGAAAGAAAAAGAAACCAAUGAGAUAGUGACACUGACCAGUGAAGCAGCGAAGGAGGCUGCCGAGAAAGAUAGGGAAUGUCAGCUAUCAGUAGGAGAUUCAGUCGGCCUCACAGAUGUAGAAAGCUCCUAUAUCCUUCCCGAUCCCAAAUCUCUCCGAAAAUCGUCUUUCUUGGGAAGAACGUUCACAAAGGAAAAUUGGACUAUUUCAAUGAAAAAGUCAUAGUGGAUGACGAACUGUGCAGCUUUUUUAAUGUCACUAUUUCAAGACUAACUUCACGUAGCUUUCUGUGGCAAUAUAACCUCAAAAGGUGAUGUGUAUAGUGAAUUCUAAGCUAAAUGGUUCUAAGUUUUCCUUCGAUCCCAGCAUAGAUGACGCAAGUUCCUUACUAGAAUGUGACCAUACAGGUUCGAGGCGCU